Molecule: ribosomal RNA, 484 nt
Filed under: uncultured bacterium
Lineage: Bacteria
Description: partial 16S ribosomal RNA
Rfam family: Bacterial small subunit ribosomal RNA
Source: RNAcentral
AUUGAACGCUGGCGGCAGGCCUAACACAUGCAAGUCGAGCGGAUGAAGGGAGCUUGCUCCUGGAUUCAGCGGCGGACGGGUGGGUAAUGCCUAGGAAUCUGCCUGGUAGUGGGGGAUAACGUCCGGAAACGGGCGCUAAUACCGCAUACGUCCUGAGGGAGAAAGUGGGGGAUCUUCGGACCUCACGCUAUCAGAUGAGCCUAGGUCGGAUUAGCUAGUUGGUGGGGUAAAGGCCUACCAAGGCGACGAUCCGUAACUGGUCUGAGAGGAUGAUCAGUCACACUGGAACUGAGACACGGUCCAGACUCCUACGGGAGGCAGCAGUGGGGAAUAUUGGACAAUGGGCGAAAGCCUGAUCCAGCCAUGCCGCGUGUGUGAAGAAGGUCUUCGGAUUGUAAAGCACUUUAAGUUGGGAGGAAGGGCAGUAAGUUGAUACCUUGCUGUUUUGACGUUACCAACAGAAUAAGCACCGGCUAACUUCGUG